RNAcentral lists this ribosomal RNA (494 nucleotides) under uncultured bacterium. RNAcentral describes it as "SSU rRNA". It matches the Rfam family "Bacterial small subunit ribosomal RNA", at positions 26 to 521 of the family's 1533-position model. The record is from RNAcentral.
AGGACGAACGCUGGCGGCGUGCUUAACACAUGCAAGUGGAGCGACGAACCAGGGCUUGCCCUGGGGCAGAGCCGCGAACGGGUGAGUAACACGUGGGUUACCUGCCUCGAUGACCGGGACAACCCGAGGAAACUCGGGCUAAUACCGGAUGUGCCCGCAAGGGGAAAGGAAGCUUCGGCCUCCGCAUCGAGAUGGGCCCGCGGCCCAUUAGCUUGUUGGUGAGGUAACGGCUCACCAAGGCUUCGAUGGGUAGCUGGUCUGAGAGGACGAUCAGCCACACUGGGACUGAGACACGGCCCAGACUCCUACGGGAGGCAGCAGUGGGGAAUCUUGCGCAAUGCGCGAAAGCGUGACGCAGCAACGCCGCGUGGGGGAAGAAGGCUUUCGGGUUGUAAACCCCUUUCAGUUGGGACGAAGCUUCGCCGGUGAUAGCCGGCCGGAGUGACGGUACCUUCACAAGAAGCACCGGCUAACUACGUGCCAGCAGCCGCGGU